This 1062-nucleotide ribosomal RNA is filed under the name Leptestheria dahalacensis. Its description in RNAcentral is "partial large subunit ribosomal RNA". Lineage: Eukaryota; Metazoa; Arthropoda; Branchiopoda; Diplostraca; Leptestheriidae. The record is from RNAcentral.
GAGGGAAAAGCCCAGCACCGAACCUCGCACCCUCGGGUGUCGCGGAAUGUGGUGUUCAGGAGGACCGUGCGCGCCUGUCCGGUAUCGUCCAAGUCUCCAUGAAUGGGGCCAGCAACCCAGAGAGGGUGUCAGGCCCGUGGGACGAGCCGCGACCGUAGCAUUGGGUCUCUCCUUAGAGUCGGGUUGCUUGAGAGUGCAGCCCUAAGCGGGAGGUAAACUCCUUCUAAGGCUAAAUACGGCCACGAGACCGAUAGCGAACAAGUACCGCGAGGGAAAGUUGAAAAGAACUUUGAAGAGAGAGUUCAAUAGUGCGUGAAACCGUUCAGGGGGUUAAACGGGUGGGCCCUCGAAGGUCGAAAGGUCCCCACUCCCGUCAUCUGUAGGCCGGCUCGUGCUGCUUCCGAUGCCGCUAGGCACGGAGCUCGGUGCGGUUGGCCGGUCUACGGGGGCCGCAAGUUGGGGACCCAGUAGGACUCCGCAACCGUCUGGGAGGCCGUCAGAAGGGUUCUGGUAGAAAGCCUCCUCGUGGGGUGGACUCYGGGAUUUCCGGGCGGUCCUCUCGGCCGUAAACCUGAAUUCUCCCGCCGGUUCUGGGGACGAGCUCCUUCACGGGGGCUGUCGGUUCUCGGUUCCGUUGUGGGGGAUGCCGCGGAGAGUAGAGUCGGGUCCCACCCGACCCGUCUUGAAACACGGACCAAGGAGUCUAACAUGUGCGCGAGUCGUCGGGUUUCUCUAAACCCGAAGGCGCAAUGAAAGUGAAGACCGUCCUCGUUGGCGUGUCUAGGGGAGAUCCCGUCCUGCUCCGGUAGCUCGGGCGCAUCCCCGGGGCGUCGAAGCCGCGUUGCCGGCUAGACGAACCAAGAGCGUACACGUUGGGACCCGAAAGAUGGUGACCUAUGCCUGGCCAGGACGAAGCCAGGGGAAACCCUGGUGGAGGUCCGCAGCGAUUCUGACGUGCAAAUCGAUCGUCGGAGUUGGGUAUAGGGGCGAAAGACUAAUCGAACCAUCUAGUAGCUGGUUCCCCCCGAAGUUUCCCUCAGGAUAGCUGGUGCUCGCAGAAAG